AAGAUUUUAAGUUAAUUUUAAACUAUUAGUCUUCAAAACUAAAUAUAAUUUUUUUUUUAAAUCUUA
RNAcentral lists this transfer RNA (66 nucleotides) under Megalodontes spiraeae. RNAcentral's name for it is "tRNA-Trp". The record is from RNAcentral. Lineage: Eukaryota; Metazoa; Arthropoda; Insecta; Hymenoptera; Megalodontesidae.